UACAGAGACUGCAAGCGUUAUUCGGAUUCACUGGGCGUAAAGGGUGCGUAGGCGGUCGGGAAAGUUUGAUGUGAAAGCUCCGGGCUCAACCUGGAAAUGGCAUUGAAAACUAUUCGACUAGAGGAUUGUAAGGGAGACUGGAAUUCUCGGUGUAGCAGUGAAAUGCGUAGAUAUCGAGAAGAACACCAGUGGCGAAGGCGAGUCUCUGGACAAUUCCUGACGCUGAGGCACAAAAGCUAGGGGAGCAAACAGG
This 253-nucleotide ribosomal RNA is filed under the name uncultured bacterium. RNAcentral's name for it is "partial 16S ribosomal RNA". It matches the Rfam family "Bacterial small subunit ribosomal RNA", at positions 524 to 776 of the family's 1533-position model. The record is from RNAcentral.